Magnolia sinica is the source of this 1330-nucleotide long non-coding RNA. RefSeq lists it as uncharacterized. The transcript is spliced from 3 exons. Lineage: Eukaryota; Viridiplantae; Streptophyta; Magnoliopsida; Magnoliales; Magnoliaceae. The record is from RefSeq and is a predicted model, not a curated record.
AUGUUUGGCUACGGAGAACAGUAUGGUGGGCCUCAUGUGGAUGGGGCAUGCUGUGACAAUCUCCAAUGUUGGAUGAUUCUAACUCCUAACAGAUCACUUGGGCCCAUGUUUUUCUCUUUUAGUGUGAGCUGUUCAUUGUAACCAUCCAUUUUGUGAGCCACCAAUCAGAUGGAAAGGGUUGUCUGAUGGAGGGAAUUUUGGCCGUGGCUUGUCUAUGAUGGGUUCUACUAGAUGAAUGGUUUACAUUACCAGAUGGUGGGCCCAGAAAAAUAAAAAGCACCAGCUAGCUUGCCUUAACAUCGUAAUAUAAAUAUUUAAAAAAAAAAACUUAUUCAGCGUGUUGCAGAGGUUUGUCAUUUUUGCCACUUUUCUCUUAAUCUUUCAUUGGACCAUGAUGAUGCUUAUCCAAAAAUUGCUGGCAGGAGCAGUUUUCUGGCUUGCCUCAUAUCUGACUCAAGUAACCUGCCAUAGGUAAUCAUAUUUAAAGAAACGAAACAUGUGAGGAGAUGCAGCUGGCCUGAUUGACAUGGCACUUGGAUAGACCCAGCUAUGAGAUGCUGCUCAGGGGCUGCUGUGUUUCACAGCAUAGCUAAGGCUGCUUAGAAUGGUUGAUGGCUUGAACUUUAAAGACUUUGUGGCCUUCCUAUCAGCCUUCAGUUCUCAUGCAAGCCUUCAACAGAAAAUUGAACUCAAACAGAAAAUGAGAAGAACUUGACAAGAAUUUGCCUUCUGAAGGAUGCUCAAAUCCUGAAUCUACAAUGGCUCGAAGAAGCUCAGCUUUAGAAGGAAAUCCCUGAAUCCUGAACUGUGAAUUCCAACAUAGCCCCUGCAUAACAGAGGAAACAAAGAAUAAAGACACGGAGAAUGCUAUCAAAAGCAAUCUCAAGACAGAAAGCUCAAUCAAUUGCAAGUAAGCAUCUAACUCCACAUAAAACUUGAAAUUUCAAUGAAGGAAAAAAAAUAAAAAUCAGAUGACUCAAUAUCUGAAAACAGGGCAGCAUAAAACCUACACCAAACUGAGGCCAGCAUUCCUAAACCUGAUGACUCAACUCAAAAUCUCAUCGGGUUAACUGAGUCAGCUCACUGACUUGAUGAACCCAAAGACAUACACCAAAGGAAUAACAGCCACCGACAGUUUGUAAAAUAUACAAAAUAUACAAAGGAAGAGAAUAAAAAACAAGAAAAAAUAUAAAAAAUAUACAAUCCAAAAUGCAGAAGCCCAAAACGAGCAUGAGAAAAUAUACAAAGGAAGAGAAUAGAAAACAAGAAAAAAGUGCAGAUUGAUCAAAACAACAAACAGUUUGUAAAAUACACAAUCCAUAAGCACCUA